Molecule: ribosomal RNA, 863 nt
Filed under: uncultured bacterium
Lineage: Bacteria
Description: bacterial SSU rRNA
Rfam family: Bacterial small subunit ribosomal RNA
Source: RNAcentral
CAGCCGCGGUAAUACGUAGGAUGCAAGCGUUAUCCGGAAUCAUUGGGCGUAAAGCGUCCGCAGGUGGGACGGUGUGUCGUGGCGUAAAUACCAGUGCUUACCAUUGGUUCUCGUCACGAAACUGCCGACCUAGAGGAUGGGAGAGGCAGACAGAAUUCCCGGUGUAGGGGUAAAAUCCGUAGAUAUCGGGAGGAAUACCGAAAGCGAAGGCAGUCUGCUGGAACAUUCCUGACACUCAUGGACGAAAGCGUGGGGAGCGAAAAGGAUUAGAUACCCUUGUAGUCCACGCCCUAAACGAUGAACACUCGGUGUAGGGGGAGUCAAUCCCCUCUGUGCCUAAGCUAACGCGUUAAGUGUUCCGCCUGAGUAGUACGGCCGCAAGGCUAAAACUCAAAGGAAUAGACGGGGACCCACACAAGCGGUGGAGCAUGUGGUUUAAUUCGACAGUAAACGAGAAACCUUACCAGGUCUUGACAUGGAGAGAAUACCGAAGAAACUCGGUAGUGCCCGCAAGGGAGCUCUCGCACAGGUGCUGCAUGGUCGUCGUCAGCUCGAGCCUUGAGGUGUGCGGUUAAGUCCGUGAUCGAGCGCAACCCUUACCCGCUGUUACAUAUUUCUGCGGGGACUGCCGUGCCACAAGCCGGAGGAAGGUGGGGAUGACGUCAGAUCAGCAUGGCCCUUACGGCCUGGGCUACACACGUGCUACAAUGGCGAGUCACAAAGCGAAGCAAUGGAGCAAUCCGGAGCCAACCGUCAAAACUCGCCUCAGUUCGGAUUGGGGGCUGCAACUCGCCCCCAUGAAGCUGGAAUCGCUAGUAACCGUGAAUCAGCUAUGUCACGGUGAAUAUGUUCCUGGGUCUUGC